GCUUAACACAUGCAAGUCGAGGGGCAUCACAGAGAUAGCUUGCUAUCUUGGGUGGCGACCGGCGCACGGGUGAGUAACGCGUAUCCAACCUGCCCAUUACUCUGGGAUAGCCUUGCGAAAGUAAGAUUAAUACCGGAUGUUGCUAAAAACCCGCAUGAGUUUUUAACCAAAGAUUUAUUGGUAAUGGAUGGGGAUGCGUGACAUUAGGUAGUUGGUGAGGUAACGGCUCACCAAGCCCACGAUGUCUAGGGGUUCUGAGAGGAAGGUCCCCCACACUGGAACUGAGACACGGUCCAGACUCCUACGGGAGGCAGCAGUGAGGAAUAUUGGUCAAUGGACGAGAGUCUGAACCAGCCAAGUAGCGUGCAGGAUGACGGCCCUCUGGGUUGUAAACUGCUUUUAGUUGGGAAUAAAAAGAGGGACGUGUCCCGUUUUGUAUGUACCAUCAGAAAAAGGACCGGCUAAUUCCGUGCCAGCAGCCGCGGUAAUACGGAAGGUCCGGGCGUUAUCCGGAUUUAUUGGGUUUAAAGGGAGCGUAGGCGGAUUAUUAAGUCAGCUGUGAAAGUUUGCGGCUCAACCGUAAAAUUGCAGUUGAUACUGAUAGUCUUGAGUGCACACAGGGAUGCUGGAAUUCGUGGUGUAGCGGUGAAAUGCUUAGAUAUCACGAA
RNAcentral lists this ribosomal RNA (668 nucleotides) under uncultured Bacteroidota bacterium. Its description in RNAcentral is "bacterial SSU rRNA". It matches the Rfam family "Bacterial small subunit ribosomal RNA", at positions 46 to 703 of the family's 1533-position model. The record is from RNAcentral. Lineage: Bacteria; Pseudomonadati; Bacteroidota.